This 1361-nucleotide long non-coding RNA is filed under the name Cyanistes caeruleus (blue tit). RNAcentral's name for it is "lncRNA (ENSCCEG00000021473.1)". Lineage: Eukaryota; Metazoa; Chordata; Aves; Passeriformes; Paridae. The record is from RNAcentral.
AGAAAAGAAAGAGUUUGAUCAGAAACCUGCAGGUGGCUCCUGCAACCAGUCACUCCAGGAAGAUAUGAAGCACCACAAAGACUUUUUUGGACAAGGUUUAAGACUGGAUUGAACUCCCACAAGGACCAGUACAAACCAAAGCAACUUCUGUGCAGAGUAAAAGGUGUAUGUUUUAACUUGUUUUUCAUAACACAACAUAUACAAGUCUGUGUAUAGGUCUGAUAAUAAAACAAAAAAAAACAAGAAAAGAAAGGGCAAAAAAAUCCCAAAACACUACUGCACAUUCUCCUACGCCUGAGGAGGGGAUGAGGGCAUGAACACAGGACAAAUGUUAGUCAUGUCACUUCACAAACUGCUGGAAAGCACUCAGUUGCUCCAGUGAUGACGUGGACAUUAGACCUUAAUGGAAGAGAAUGGAAUAGGAAAUUGAAAGCCAGUCCCUGGCUUUUAUUCCUGGGCCUAAAAUAUACAAAACCCAUGAAAGUACACUCCUGAGGAAAUGCACAAACCAUCUACGAACAGCAUGACAAAACAGCUUUUUCCACUCUCUUCCUAGGACUGAACAUUUGUUUGUCACUGUCCCUGCUGCAAUGAGUUUUGGCAUAGAUGCAUCCACUGGGAAGUGUGAUUAUGAGGGUAACAUGUCUCCUAUCAGCUUGUAUAAUCUUGUUGAUGUGCCCCACCAGAAUGCAUGUGAAGCUAGUUCAUUUUCACACCUGAAUCCCCUAAGGUCAUAACAGCCUGCAUUUAGACUGCAAUGUGAGGAAGGGUAUUAAGACUUGGGACUUGUAACUGUAGGAAUGCAAAGGCCUCUGUUGCUAGAGAGUAUUUUGCAUUAGUUGUCAGUAGCACUGUCUUGUGUCUGUUGUAAAACAUGAGGAUAAAGAGACCAAUUGAACAUAGAAGCAGUUGUGAUGCCCUGUGGCACAGCAGUGCUUUCUGUUUUGGGAAAUGGAAAUUUUUCAUGGACUUGGAACCACUGUCACCUCUUCUGAUGCUUAGUGUUCCAAAAAGAGGAAACAGACUGCGUAUCUUGACUUUCCUCCAGCACUCAGGGUCUCAGUGCAUAUAAAAACCCACUUGGAAGCUACUGUCAGCUGCUUAUGCAAAUAAUAAUUUUGGAGUUUUUCUUUGCUGAUACUCUGUUGAUGCUUUAAAGCCACUGUGCCUUUGUGUGUCGCUCUUGCCUGAUAACUGUAAGUGAUAAUGUGUUGCUAUGAUGCAAAGGCAUACUGUAGCCUUGGCCCAGCAAGAAUGAUAUGCACACAUGCACAUAUGUGGGUUGGAGAUGUGGUGGAAGGGUUGAUUUGGGUUUAGGGAAGAGUAAUAAACACAUCAUCAUUUAUGGAGUGUUUUGGUGA